RNAcentral lists this ribosomal RNA (435 nucleotides) under uncultured bacterium. RNAcentral describes it as "bacterial SSU rRNA". It matches the Rfam family "Bacterial small subunit ribosomal RNA", at positions 29 to 507 of the family's 1533-position model. The record is from RNAcentral.
AACGAACGCUGGCGGCAGGCCUAACACAUGCAAGUCGAGCGAACCCUUCGGGGUUAGCGGCGGACGGGUGAGUAACGCGUGGGAACGUGCCCCUUUGCUACGGAAUAGCCCCCGGGAAACUGGGAGUAAUACCGUAUGUGCCCUUCGGGGGAAAGAUUUAUCGGCAAAGGAUCGGCCCGCGUUGGAUUAGGUAGUUGGUGGGGUAAUGGCCUACCAAGCCGACGAUCCAUAGCUGGUUUGAGAGGAUGAUCAGCCACACUGGGACUGAGACACGGCCCAGACUCCUACGGGAGGCAGCAGUGGGGAAUCUUAGACAAUGGGCGCAAGCCUGAUCUAGCCAUGCCGCGUGAUCGAUGAAGGCCUUAGGGUUGUAAAGAUCUUUCAGUGGGGAAGAUAAUGACUGUACCCACAGAAGAAGCCCCGGCUAACUCCGUG